RNAcentral lists this ribosomal RNA (500 nucleotides) under uncultured bacterium. RNAcentral's name for it is "partial 16S ribosomal RNA". It matches the Rfam family "Bacterial small subunit ribosomal RNA", at positions 30 to 523 of the family's 1533-position model. The record is from RNAcentral.
AUUGAACGCUGGCGGCAUGCCUUACGCAUGCAAGUCGAACGGCAGCACGGGAGCAAUCCUGGUGGCGAGUGGCGAACGGGUGAGUAAAGUAUCGGAACGUGCCCAGUCGUGGGGGAUAACGUAGCGAAAGUUACGCUAAUACCGCAUGCGAUCUAUGGAUGAAAGCGGGGGAUCGCAAGACCUCGCGCGAUUGGAGCGGCCGAUAUCAGAUUAGGUAGUUGGUGGGGUAAAGGCUCACCAAGCCGACGAUCUGUAGCUGGUCUGAGAGGACGACCAGCCACACUGGGACUGAGACACGGCCCAGACUCCUACGGGAGGCAGCAGUGGGGAAUUUUGGACAAUGGGCGAAAGCCUGAUCCAGCCAUGUCGCGUGCAGGAUGAAGGCCUUCGGGUUGUAAACUGCUUUUGUACGGAACGAAAAGGUUUGGCCUAAUAAGCUGAGCUCAUGACGGUACCGUAAGAAUAAGCACCGGCUAACUACGUGCCAGCCGCCGCAGUAA